UACGUAGGUGACGAGCGUUAUCCGGAUUUACUGGGCGUAAAGCGCUUGUAGGUGGUCUCGUAAGUUGGGCGUGAAAACACUGGGCUUAACUCAGUGACGCCGUCCAAUACUGCGAGGCUAGAGGAUGUCAGAGGAAGGUGGAAUUCCUGGUGUAGUGGUGAAAUGCGUAGAUAUCAGGAGGAACACCCGUGGCGAAGGCGGCCUUCUGGGGCAUUCCUGACAUUGAGAAGCGACAGCUAGGGGAGCAAACAGG
RNAcentral lists this ribosomal RNA (253 nucleotides) under uncultured prokaryote. RNAcentral's name for it is "partial 16S ribosomal RNA". It matches the Rfam family "Bacterial small subunit ribosomal RNA", at positions 524 to 776 of the family's 1533-position model. The record is from RNAcentral.